CCUACGGGAGGCAGCAGUGAGGAAUAUUGGUCAAUGGGCGCGAGCCUGAACCAGCCAAGUCGCGUGAAGGAUGACUGCCCUACGGGUUGUAAACCUCUUUUAUAAGGGAAUAAAGUGCGGCACGUGUGCCUUUUUGUAAGUACUUUAUGAAUAAGGAUCGGCUAACUCCGUGCCAGCAGCCGCGGUAAUACGGAGGAUCCGAGCGUUAUCCGGAUUUAUUGGGUUUAAAGGGAGCGUAGUUGGGUUGUUAAGUCAGUGGUGAAAGUUUGCGGCUCAACCGUAAAAUUGCCAUUGAUACUGGCAGUCUUGAGUACAGUUGAGGUAGGCGGAAGGCGUGGUGUAGCGGUGAAAUGCUUAGAUAUCACGAAGAACUCCGAUUGCGAAGGCAGCUUACUAAACUGCCACUGACAUUGAUGCUCGAAAGUGUGGGUAUCGAACAGGAUUAGAUACCCGGGUAGUC
Molecule: ribosomal RNA, 460 nt
Filed under: uncultured bacterium
Lineage: Bacteria
Description: partial 16S ribosomal RNA
Rfam family: Bacterial small subunit ribosomal RNA
Source: RNAcentral